UCCACCGUGAGGUGGAAUCUGAAGGAAGCUCGAGGCAAAUCUCUGGUCUGACGAACAGAAAUCAUAUAGGACGCAGUGCCGAGGAUAAGGUUGCAAAAGAAGCUGAAGUCCAAUAGCUAAUGUAUCAAUCGUGUGAUGUAGAUAUGGCAGAUAGAUGGAGAGAAAGAGUUCGCAC
Molecule: non-coding RNA, 175 nt
Filed under: Carnobacterium iners
Lineage: Bacteria; Bacillati; Bacillota; Bacilli; Lactobacillales; Carnobacteriaceae
Source: RNAcentral